CCUACGGGAGGCAGCAGUAGGGAAUCUUCCACAAUGGGCGAAAGUCUGAUGGAGCAACGCCGCGUGAGUGAAGAAGGUCUUCGGCUCGUAAAACCCUGUUGUUAGAGAAGAAAGUUCGUGGGAGUAACUGUUCACUUUUUGACGGUAUCUAACUAGAAAGUCACGGCUAACUACGUGCCGGCAGCCGCGGUAAUACGUAGGUGGCAAGCGUUAUCCGGAUUUAUUGGGCGUAAAGGGAACGCAGGCGGUCUUAUAAGUCUGAUGUGAAAGCCUUCGGCUUAACCGG
RNAcentral lists this ribosomal RNA (286 nucleotides) under uncultured bacterium. Its description in RNAcentral is "partial 16S ribosomal RNA". It matches the Rfam family "Bacterial small subunit ribosomal RNA", at positions 338 to 616 of the family's 1533-position model. The record is from RNAcentral.